CAGCCGCCGCGGUAAAACGAAGGGUGCAAGCGUUACUCGGAAUUACUGGGCAUAAAGCGUGCGUAGGUGGUGGUUUAAGUCCGUUGUGAAAGCCCUGGGCUCAACCUGGGAAUUGCAGUGGAUACUGGGUCACUAGAGUGUGGUAGAGGAUAGUGGAAUUUCCGGUGUAGCAGUGAAAUGCGUAGAGAUCGGAAGGAACAUCUGUGGCGAAGGCGACUAUCUGGGCCAACACUGACACUGAGGCACGAAAGCGUGGGGAGCAAACAGGAUUAGAUACCCGUGUAGUCCCUGUCUCUUAUAC
This 301-nucleotide ribosomal RNA is filed under the name uncultured bacterium. RNAcentral describes it as "partial 16S ribosomal RNA". It matches the Rfam family "Bacterial small subunit ribosomal RNA", at positions 509 to 807 of the family's 1533-position model. The record is from RNAcentral.